GUAACUUUCAAAGAGCGUCUAUUGAAACUAAGCUGCAAAAAACAUCUCUGAUCUUCCGGUCACAUUCUUUGCGGUCUUCAGGAUAUUCAAGACGGAAGAAAGAAAGAAAUACAACAAUAAAAUGGCGAGUAAAUUACAGUUUGGUGACUUUUCCCUUUAUUUAAGAACAAAAUAGGUAUUUUUUGAAUAGAAAUGCUGAUUCAAAUGUUAAGUAAUUAGAAAAAACAAUGAAAAAGCAUACUUGCUCAUAUACCUCAGCUCUCCUGACAUCUCUCUAUUUUCUUUGUUUGUGCUCUCUCUUAUAUUACUGCCGACUAUCAUUUGCAAAGUGUUGUCUGGCAUUUGUGCUUUUCUCUAUUGGCUUUGCAUGCUUGGCUAGCUGCGCUUGAACCUCUCAGCAGAAGAGACCUAGGCCUUUUUUAAUAAGGUCCCUCAUGAGAAAUCUUCCUCAUCUGAGCAGGAGCAUGUCUAGAGGGCAGUUAAAGAAGAGAAAUAGAAGAGGUAACAGAAAUAAAAAGAUGAGGAGACACAGACAGAAAGGAGGAGAGACUGAUGAGGGAAGGGGAAGAACGUGAUGCGUGAUCGAGUUUGUGCAGUCUGCCUCUAUGAGAGGUGAGAGCUGCUCUAUCAGGGGACAGGAAAAGGCAUUCAGAGUGUGACAUGUUUGUCACGGUGGGCGACAUUGGCAUCUGUCACGCAACCUUUGGCAACACUUGCAAUAACCCUCUCCGUUCCAGAGAGUACGAGACAAAAAGAGACUUUGAAAAUGAGAGAGAUUUGCAGAGUGCUGCAGCGGAAGCACGGAAGCCGCGGUGCUCACGGGGAGACAGGACAAAAGAAUCCAAAUGAUCCGUUUCCUUCCUAAUUCAUGGAAAUGGAGAGGGGGAGGAGGGCUCCUGUCAGGAGGGAGACGUGGAGCGCUGGUCAGUAUAUCAGGGAGUUUUAAUUAACAGCUCAGUGAUGAGGAUUGAAACAGCCCUCAUGCCGUUUACCACUCUACGGGACCGGAUCAAACCAAACCCACCGCGGAGGGGUUGAUUUGCUCCACUCAGCCAUCUAUAAAAGACUGGCACUGAAAUCAGCAGCAUUUGCAUAUGAGGGUGGUGUAUGAAGCUGUGUUUGCCUGCGGCAGAUCCCCCUGGCAGUCUCUGAGAGCUGCCAUCUUCUUCUGCCAGCCCUCCAUUAGGCCUGUAAGGUGUGUCAGUCAGCUCUCGUACACAGGGGCUUAUGGGAAGACUGCGGGGAAGUGAGGAGCGAACGGCCUUCUGGACAUGUCUCUGUCUUCACUGAGAGACUGGCAGUAGCAUAAAAGGAGAAGCUGUCGUGCAGUUCUUGAUGGCUGUACACUAAUUGCUGACCCUAACAGGUCCAAUUAGAAGCUACACGCGCCCCGCGCAGGCCCAGGGGACUACACAUCCCAGCAUGCCGAGCACUGACACUUUCAGAGUGACAUGAACAAGACAGCAACCAGACGGAACGAAAAGGAAAAUUCAGAGGGAAUGAGAAUAAUAAAUGCAAAUUAUGAAUCCGUUUACCAAACACCGGAAGUUCACAGUCUCCGAGGCACCAGAUUACGCCAUUGAUCCGAACCCAAAAUGGCUCCAUGUCUGGCAUUUUCAGAGGCCGUUUCCAAUUCAAUGUCAUCCUCUCUGCCUCAAACUAAAAGAGACAAAUACGACUGGAAUAAGGUAAAGAUGGAGUGGUUGCCUUGCUGUUGUGCUGGUAUCAGACAUGGGCUCUUCAUCAGAUGACUAAUGGAGUUGUGCAGCUAACCAGGAGGCCCAAGGCUGUUUGUUAGCUCCUAACAAGAAUAAGCCUAGCUGUGCGGGCGCCGGGUCCGGAACGAGCACUUAAGAAGCAGGCUAAAAGUUUCGCGCACGGCUCAUCCCUCUACCGCUUGUAUGCUUUAUUGACCUUGAUGGCAGCCCAAGUGGGACACUCUUCCCCAGAACCGUCUGGCCUCCACAAACCAUACUCUGAAUAAUUUACAGCAGCAAGGCCUUGACAUCCACAGGAUCCAAUUAGUUGAAAUCCACAUGCAAUCAGUCCACAGGAAAAAGGCACAACAGGGACAUCUCCAGAGAGACGAGACACUAUUAGCAAGUUUCUAAAAUACAGAGAGGUGCACUGCGUAAAGAGAAGAGCAAAUGCACCGCUGCUUUGACAGAACAUGGAAUCCUUGAAAUCAGAUCAGUGAACGAAGAAUGUGAUACUCGUAUACAAAUACCUCAGUUACUCAAACAAACCUCUGAUAAGGUUCUACUGUGCUUUAAAUAGCAACAGCUAUUAGAUAUAGUCCAUGAUACUGCAGUUUAGUGUUAUAUAUAGCACUACUAUGGUGUAGUACUGUAUCGCGUGUGAUCCAGUACGGACAUUUGCCUGAGGCUUUGUAAAAUGUAAUUUUUAAGUAAUCAGUUUUAAGUGCCCUCAAAAAUAAAUUAAAGCGCUGAGUGUUUGUCUUAGCUGAAGUUUAAACUUUCCAUAAAUCAAGUGAAGAACUGCACAGCUUGUUAAUGUUUUCCUUCAAACCAAAGACUGUAACUAUGACUGACUUUCUUCUGCUCAAAACAAAAGAUAAUCUGAAGGAAUUUUUGUCAGCUUUAAUUUUCGGGUGAGGCAUCGCUUUAAGAACAAACUGCAUGAAAAACGAUAUCAUCGAUCGCUAAUCUAAACAUUGUGUUUAGUUACGGUGGUUACAGCCCUAAGACUAAUAAUGAAGCAUAACAACUGAGUAAACAACUGAAACAGAACUAGCAAGUCAAGUUUACAUAGCAGAACCUGUUCUAGAUAUUUUACUAAAUGAAUCUACGAACCACAAUCGAAAACUUCUUAUGUGGAACUGUAGUUAAAAUUCCCCAGACCUUUAUCAGUCAGAAUGAGUUUGCAUUACGAGCUCAAGAGAAAAAGUUCAGUUCUGUUUAAGGGUGGGGUCGCCACAACUGUUUGUGUGGUUUCCAGCCAAUGGCAACAAUGGCUUAUUUCUAUAAUCUCAAAUGGAACAUUUGUUAGACAUUGUGUGAUUAUGCACUACCAAAUAAAAUACAAUAAAGGUCUUUGGAUUGGUUCUUGGUGUAGUAUAAUGAGGUUUGGUCUAGUGUGGCAUUGGAUGAUGUACUGUGGUUUGGAUUAGUAUUAUGUUCUAAUUGUAUAACAUGAUCUGGUUUAACCAGGUUUGGUUUGGUAUGAUCUAGUCUAAUGUGGCCUUUCAUGGUAUCAUAUGAUGAGUCUUUUUAGCAUUGCUAUAGUCUGAAAAGGUCAGGUCUUGGUUUAAUAUGGUUGGUUAUGGUUGCUGCAAUGAGGUAAAGCCACAAAACGGAGCAGCUCACCCAAAAUGAAGAGUUGUACUAAUUACAUGUUAAAAACAGUAAAAGGUCACACUGUAAAUACCAUUUUUUUAAUAUAUAUUUAUGUCAUUUAUCUUUGUAAUGUCACGUGAUUCUUCAGGUAUUAUUCAAAUAUUCUGAUUUGCUGCUAAAGAAGUUUUUUUUUUAUUUUGAGGACAUUUUUUCAAGUUUGAUUGUUGACUAGAAUGUAAAGCGUUUAUUUGUAAUAUGCAAUAUGCCCUAACUGUAACUUUUGAUCAAUUUAACUCAUAACCGCUUAAUAAAAAUUCUAAUAAAUCCCACUGACUGCAAACCUGUCAUUUACUCAAAAUAGUAUUUCUAUCCACCAACACGGGAUCGAUUUAUGAAGAAAAUCUGGC
Molecule: long non-coding RNA, 3703 nt
Organism: Puntigrus tetrazona (Sumatra barb)
Lineage: Eukaryota; Metazoa; Chordata; Actinopteri; Cypriniformes; Cyprinidae
Exons: 11
Source: RefSeq, a predicted model, not a curated record